Molecule: ribosomal RNA, 439 nt
Filed under: uncultured bacterium
Lineage: Bacteria
Description: partial 16S ribosomal RNA
Rfam family: Bacterial small subunit ribosomal RNA
Source: RNAcentral
CCUACGGGUGGCAGCAGUGGGGGAUAUUGCACAAUGGGGGGAACCCUGAUGCAGCGACGCCGCGUGGGUGCAGAAGCGCCUCGGCGCGUAAAGCCCUGUCAGCAGGGAAGAAAAUGACGGUACCUGAAGAAGAAGCCCCGGCUAACUACGUGCCAGCAGCCGCGGUAAUACGUAGGGGGCAAGCGUUAUCGGGAUUUAUUGGGUUUAAGGGGUGAGAAGGCGGUAUUUUAAGUGAGUGGUAAACCGGCGGGGCGUCACCUUGAUUGGCCAUUAAAACUGGAGUACUAGAGUGCAGACGAGGUAGGCGGAAUAAGUGAAGUAGCGGUGAAAUGCUUAGAUAUAACUUAGAACCCCGAUAGCGAAGGCAGCUUACCAGACUGUUACUGACGCUGAGGCACGAGAGCGUGGGUAGCGAACAGGAUUAGAUACCCUAGUAGUC